GAUGAAGAACGCAGCGAAAUGCGAUACGUAAUGUGAAUUGCAGAAUUCAGUGAAUCAUCGAAUUUUUGAACGCAUAUUGCGCUCUCUGGUAUUCCGGAGAGCAUGCUUGUUUGAGUAUCAGUAAACACCUCAACUUCCAUAUCUUUUUUUGAAAUGGGAGUUGGACUUGAGUGAUCCCAACGCUUUUCCUCACCGAAAAGUGGCGGGUUACUUGAAAUGCAGGUGCAGCUGGACUUUUCUCUGAGCUAUAAGCAUAUCUAUUUAGUCUGCCUAAAAAACAGAUUAUUACCUUUGCUGCAGCUAACAUAAAGGAGAUUAGUUCUUGUGCUGACUGAUGCAGGAUUCACAAAGACAGCUUCGGCCGACUUUGUAAACUCGAUCUCAAAUCAAGUAAGACUACCCGCUGAACUUAAGCAUAUCAAUAAGCGGAGGA
RNAcentral lists this unclassified non-coding RNA (433 nucleotides) under soil metagenome. RNAcentral describes it as "partial contains 5.8S ribosomal RNA, internal transcribed spacer 2, and large subunit ribosomal RNA". The stretch from base 1 to 120 matches the Rfam family "5.8S ribosomal RNA", at positions 35 to 154 of the family's 154-position model. The record is from RNAcentral.